RNA transcript from Dermochelys coriacea (leatherback sea turtle), 1125 nucleotides. It is a transcript of the gene named transmembrane protein 242, with no coding region annotated. The transcript has 5 exons. The record is from RefSeq and is a predicted model, not a curated record. Lineage: Eukaryota; Metazoa; Chordata; Testudines; Dermochelyidae.
CCGAGCGGGGCCGGCUGCGCAGGCGGGGGCUGGGCGAGCGCGUCCCUGCCGGGCUCGGUUUCCAUCCGGGUUGCAGGGAGGAGCCUGGCUCGCCGGCCCGAGCAUGGUGCCGGCGGCUGGCGCGGGGGACGCCGAGGGCGCCGCUGCUCCCGCUGAGGGGAGCCCCGGGCUGGGGUCGCCCGUGGCGGGGGCGGGCCGUCACCCUGCAGCAGCCCAGGACAAGUUCUUCCUCAUCAAAGGUGGAAUUUUUCUAGGUACUGUUGCUACUGCAGGAAUGAUAGCUGGUUUUGGUACAACACUUGCUAUGGCUAAAAAGAAAAACCCCAACUGGUUCGAUAAGGGUAUUACUGCCACAGCUGCAUUACCAGAGAAUGGUUCAUUGCUGGCCUUACGAGCCUUGGGGUGGGGUUCACUGUAUGCCUGGUGUGGAGUUGGGCUGUUCAGUUUUGCCAUCUGGAAGGCUUUGGGAGUUCACAGUGAUUUUUCUACAGUACUUAAGCUGCCUGGUUAGAAUUUAUGUUGAGAGGCAUUGUCAUCUUCAUAUAUGUAUUGCUAGUACUGCUCCCAAGAAGUAAAAGAAUGACCCAUAAACUUCCCCCAUACAUCUUCCAAAAAAUAAAGCACAACAGGACAUUUGCUGAAGGAAUGAGAUGAAAGAAUUUCGUCAUAAAAUGCAAUCAAUAUUUCCAGCAAUUCCGAAAAGUGCAGAGCACUCAGUCGAAUGGGAAGACUUACUGAAAUCCAAAUGAAAGGAGCAGAAAGGAUUUGGAAUUUUAUACUUCAAUGGGAGAGACUGUAGAACUUGUGGAAAAAUCCCAUCUAAAAAAAUAAGAAAGAAAAACAGACUGAUUUGAAUGCAUGAAAGUGAGCAAAGUAGUGACUGUUUGCUGAACAUGGGGGCGGCAGUUAUUAUUUUAACAGCAAAAGAACUGUUACGUUUUUGCUGUUACUUUUUCAUCAUUGUCAUUAGAGUUGAAUUGUGGAGAAAAGAAUUUUAUGGGAUACCUUGGGCUGAACUUGAAAGAAGAAUAUAACUAUAUGAGAACGUGUUUCAGUAAAACAAAAAUCAAACAAGAAACUGAUCUUGAGUGGAUAUUUACAAUAAAAUAUAGUUGCAAACUCUUA